Molecule: long non-coding RNA, 706 nt
Organism: Calidris pygmaea (Spoon-billed sandpiper)
Lineage: Eukaryota; Metazoa; Chordata; Aves; Charadriiformes; Scolopacidae
Source: Ensembl
CGUGCCGGGCUGUGCCCGCCUGCAUCUCCCCCCGCGGGCAGCCUUUGGUGGGGGCAGCGGGGGCACGCAGGCUGUUUACCAACUCCUCAACAUGGAAAAACAAAGCCCUCAUUCCUGGGCCAUGGAAAACUUCUGCCGAUUACUCCACGCCCUCUCUCUGGGGAGGAAAACAUAACAAACACUAAUGUCUCUUCACCCUUUUAUGCCUCGUGUAUUAAUCACCCGACAAGGGCUCAUGGCUUUCCCUGUUCCAGUUUGCAUCUGCCCCGUAACUACUGGGAGGAGUCCUGCUUUGUCUAUAAAAAGCUGCCCUUUGCCAAACACUGUAACAGAACCCAAUUUAGAGAUUCAGUGGCCCAUCCUCUGCGGGGAGAGAGCACCCAGCGCAGCCAUGUUCGGGAUGGGGAAGAAGCUUGCCGAGGAAGCCACGCAACAAGCCGAAAGCGCCGCGCAGGCCGCAGUUGGCACAGUGGGCCAGACUGUGCAGCAAGCAGCGGAACAGGCUAAGGAUGCUGGUCAGAAAGCUCUUGAUGAAGUCUACAAAAUUGCUGAAACCGGUGAAAAAGCUGUGAAAAAUGUAGCGAAUCAAGCAACUUCGUGGGGCAAAAGCUUUGGACAAUGAAGACAAAAAUGAAGCGCCACUGAAAUUUUUGUAAACAAGUUUCUACUACAUGUACUUUUAAAUAAAGAUAAUACUUAUACUCCA